CAGGAGCACCUUGUCCACAGAGUAGACGGCCAGUGGCUUCUUGUCGCUGAGCGCGUUGUUGACGGUGACUUCGGAGACGCCGCUGGAGACGUUCACCUGGUUGUUGGCGGUGGCGGUGAUGUUGAGCGUGAAUGGCCCGUCCUGUCCGGACGCCUGGGUGCGGACGGGGUUGCUGGCGGUCUGGAAGGACUCCAUGGAGUAGAACUGCGGGAGGACGUGGCCCUGGACGAGCGCCACCUGCUGCUGCUGGGUGAGGCUGUUGAGCGUGCCUGGCUUGAGGUUGUUGAAGGCGUUGUCGGUCGGGGCGAAGACGGUGUAGCCGUUGCCGUUGAAGGAGUUGUUGAGCUGGCUGUUGAGCUGCGUGUCCUGCUGCGUCUCCUUCAUCAGCC
Molecule: long non-coding RNA, 389 nt
Filed under: Brachypodium distachyon (stiff brome)
Lineage: Eukaryota; Viridiplantae; Streptophyta; Magnoliopsida; Poales; Poaceae
Description: long non-coding RNA (BDIS_LNC002558)
Source: RNAcentral